AUGCCAACGCUCCGGUGAGCAGCGACAGCCACGGGGACAGCGGUGGAGCCCAUGUGAGUGCCCAGGGUCAGGGUGGGGGUGCCAGGGGGAUGGAUUCUUGUGCUGGGGCAGGGCAGAGGUGCCUGAGGGGGAUCUCUGAUCAGAGCAGGGGGUGUCAGGGAUGGAUCCCUGUGCCAGGGAGGGUCAGGGGGCCAAGCUGGGGCUGUCCCACAGGCACAUUCCGCCCGGCAGGGUUGCAGCACGUCCAUCCCGGGGGAGCCCAAGGUCCCCCAGCUGUCGCUGUCACUGAUCCGUGCCGGUGGGCAGCUCUCCCUGGUGGCACUGACCAACACCCAGCCCGGCCACCAAAGCCCCGCUCAGCACCGAGCCCGGAGCCCAGCGCGGCUCCCUCCGCUGCCGGCACAUCCACCCCGCCCUCGGUGGAUGCUGCGGCCCCAAUCCAGCCCCGAGCGCUGCUCCGGGGGGGAUCCCUCAAGCACAGCCUAGGGGUCCUCUGCCGCCAGCCCCCCCCCCCCCCCCCCGUGUGUGCGCCGGGGCUAACUCGUGGCCAAAUCCAGCUUAAACAGCGUAAAAUGCAGCCCUGUUCUAAGACUGUUGAGGUGAACACACGCCCCAGGCGCUGCAGGAGCCGGGUCGGUGCCUCUCGCUGGGGAAGCACCGGCUCAGCCCCGGGGACGCCCAGAGCAGCGUGUCUCUGUCCCCCCGGCCCGCAGGGAAUAGAGGAGCAGAGCCCCCCGCGCGGUGUCUCCGAGCAGGAGCCGGACAUGCCAGAGCCAGCCCCGCUCGGCGGGGACAGGAAAGCGGCGGAGAAGAAGCGGGUGGAGAAGGUGGGAGCCAAGGGCAGCGCUGCCGGGCCUCCAGUCCCCAGAACCCUCCCCGUGCAGAGCAAGGUGGAGCCGCCCAGCCUGGACCCUGCGGAGGAGCCGCUGCUCUGGGAAGGGCUCACCCUCAACAAGUGCAUCCUGGUGGCCUCCGUGGUCGCCCUGCUCAGCGUCACCUUCCAGGUGCUCCAAGCGCCAUGCUCCAAGGAGGGAAUCGCCCGCGGCCGGCAGGAACCUCCGCCCCCUCCCAUUCCCGAGGUCGUCAGCCCCAAGGUGGAGGAGAUCCCAGAGGUGGUGACGGCCCAGCCUGCGCCGCCGCCGCCGGAGAGCAGCGCGGUGGAGGAUGAUGGUGAUGACGAAGACGGUGACGAUGACAGCGAAGCUGACAGCAACCUGGCAGAACCCUGGAUCUUCAAGAAGUGGUUUGGCCGCACAAUACCAGAGGAUGGGGACAAGGAUGAGGACAAGGAUGAGGAUGAGGACAAGGACGAAGAACCUGCAGAUGUCCCCGAGGUGCCAGUGGCUGUGAUGGAGGGGAAGAAGAGCCAGGAGAAGCAGAAGAAGGUGGAGAAGGAGGAGGAGGAGGAAGAAGAAGAAAAAGAGGAGAAGGAGGAGGAAGAAGAGGAAGAGGAGGAGGAGGAGGAGAAGAAGAAGAAGGAGAAGAAGGAGAAAGCCCGGGAAGGCCGUGCUGUCCGUGCGGAGCGGAGCAGCCGGAGGGACGCACGAGCCAAGGACAGGACACCGUGGGACAAACCCGGCAGAGCCCCCAGGGCCCCCAGGGAACCGGAGCAGCAAGCCCAGAAGAAGCGGGACCGGGAGAGGAAGGAGAGGAAGGAGAGACGGCGGGAGCGGGAUGAGUCCAGGCGGGAGGGGUGGAAGGGCCGUCCCGGCAGGGCUGAGGGCGGCCGGGAGAGCCCGAGGCGGGACCGGAGGCUGCAGAAGGGCAGGAAGCCCUGGGAGCCGGCGCCGGGCAGGGACGGCAGGGCCAGGGAGGGCAAGAGGCGCGACUGA
Molecule: long non-coding RNA, 1832 nt
Organism: Corvus moneduloides (New Caledonian crow)
Lineage: Eukaryota; Metazoa; Chordata; Aves; Passeriformes; Corvidae
Source: Ensembl